GGUCACAGCCACUAAGUUGUCCAUACAAAAGAAAAACAAACACACGAAAAACAGAAAACAACUUGAGUUUUUGAGAGUAUGGAGAAAUUGGAACCCGUGUAUAUUGUUAGUUCAGUUCAGUUCAGUCUCUCAGUCAUGUCCGACUCUUUGCUACCCCAUGAAUUGCAGCACGCCAGGCCUCCCUGUCCAUCACCAACUCCCAGAAUUCACUCAAACUUAUGUCCAUCGAGUCAGUGAUGCCAUCCAGCCAUCUCAUCCUCGGUCGUCCCCUUCUCCUCCUGCCCCCAAUCCCUCCCAGCAUCAGAGUCUUUUCCAAUGAGUCAACCCUUCGCAUGAGGUGGCCAAAGUACUGGAGUUUCAGCUUUACCAUCAUUCCUUCCAAAGAAAUCUCAGGGCUGAUCUCCUUCAGAAUGGACUGGUUGGAUCUCCUUGCAGUCCAAGGGACUCUCAAGGGUCUUCUCCAACACCACAGUUCAAAAGCAUCAAUUCUUCGGCGCUCAGCUUUCUUCACAGUCCAACUCUCACAUCCAUACAUGACCACUGGAAAAACCAGACGGACCUUUGUUGGCAAAGUAAUGUCUCUGCUUUUCAAUAUGCUAAGUUGGUCACAACUUUUCUUCCAAGGAGUAAGAGUCUUUUAAUUUCAUGGCUGCAGUCACCAUCUGCAGUGAAUGGAUAUACAAAUUGUGCUAUGUUCACUGCAUGGAAUAUUUUUAAGCCAUAAAAGAUACUGAUAUAUACUACAGCAUAAAUGAAACUUGGAAACAGUGCUAAAUGAAAAGA
Molecule: long non-coding RNA, 783 nt
Filed under: Ovis aries (sheep)
Lineage: Eukaryota; Metazoa; Chordata; Mammalia; Artiodactyla; Bovidae
Description: lncRNA (ENSOARG00000025212.1)
Source: RNAcentral